Molecule: ribosomal RNA, 632 nt
Filed under: uncultured bacterium
Lineage: Bacteria
Description: bacterial SSU rRNA
Rfam family: Bacterial small subunit ribosomal RNA
Source: RNAcentral
GAGUUUGAUCCUGGCUCAGAACGUACGCUGGCGGCACGCCUAACACAUGCAAGUCGAGCGGGGUAGCAAUACCUAGCGGCAGACGGGUGCGUAACAUGUGGGAAUCUGCCUUUUGGUUCGGAACAACAUGGGGAAACCUGUGCUAAUACCGGAUAAGUCCUAACGGAGAAAGUUUUAAUGCCAAAAGAUGAGCCCGCAUUUGAUUAGCUUGUUGGUGAGGUAAAAGCUCACCAAGGCUAUAAUCAAUAGCUGAUUUGAGAGGAUGAUCAGCCACACUGGGACUGAGAUACGGCCCAGACUCCUACGGGAGGCAGCAGUGGGGAAUCUUGCACAAUGGGCGAAAGCCUGAUGCAGCGAUGCCGCGUGAGUGAAGAAGGCCUUUGGGUUGUAAAGCUCUUUUGUCGGGAAAGAUAAUGACUGUACCCGAAGAAUAAGGUCCGGCUAACUUCGUGCCAGCAGCCGCGGUAAUACGAAGGGACCUAGCGUAGUUCGGAAUUACUGGGCGUAAAGAGUAUGUAGGCGGCUAGAUAAGUUAAUUGUGAAAGCCCAAAGCUUAACUUUGGAACUGCAAUUAAAACUAUUUAGCUGGAGUAUGAUAGAGGAAAGCGGAAUACAUAGUGUAGAGGUGAAAU